Molecule: non-coding RNA, 51 nt
Filed under: Pan paniscus (pygmy chimpanzee)
Lineage: Eukaryota; Metazoa; Chordata; Mammalia; Primates; Hominidae
Source: RNAcentral
UUUGGUCGCUCGCUCCUCUCCUACUUGGAAAACUGUGGUAAUUCUAGAGCU